GUAUCUGGCAGUGCUGUGGCUGUCCAGCCUUGAACCGUGACAGCGGUCUCAGCUCUCUAAGACCUCAUGAUUUUUUUUUUUUAAUUUCUCUUGCGUUUAUCAUAUUGACUGUCAUAUUUAUAAAAGAUAAUUCUUAUUUCCAGAAUUUAUAAUUUUUUGGCUUUUAUUUCUUGUUGACAUGAACCUUCUCCCGCCGCCCCCCUCCCCCCC
RNAcentral lists this long non-coding RNA (210 nucleotides) under Bos taurus (domestic cattle). RNAcentral's name for it is "long non-coding RNA NONBTAT000018". Lineage: Eukaryota; Metazoa; Chordata; Mammalia; Artiodactyla; Bovidae. The record is from RNAcentral.